GUUGCUAACGGGUAAAGCCGAGCACUCUGGACGAACUGCCGUUGACAAAACGGAGGAAGGUGGGAUGACGUCAAAUCAUCAUGCCCCUUAUGUCCUGGGCCACACACGUGCUACAAUGGCCGGUACAGAGGGAAGCGAAGCCGUGAGGUGGAGCAAAUCCCAAAAAGACCGGUCUCAGUUCGGAUUGCAGGCUGCAAUUCGCCUGCAUGAAGUCGGAAUCGCUAGUAAUCGCAGGUCAGCAUACUGCGGUGAAUACGUUCCCGGGCCUU
RNAcentral lists this ribosomal RNA (269 nucleotides) under uncultured Pelotomaculum sp. RNAcentral describes it as "partial 16S ribosomal RNA". It matches the Rfam family "Bacterial small subunit ribosomal RNA", at positions 1114 to 1382 of the family's 1533-position model. The record is from RNAcentral. Lineage: Bacteria; Bacillati; Bacillota; Clostridia; Eubacteriales; Desulfotomaculaceae.